GGCGGCGUGACACGGGCGGCUUUCCUAACGAGGAAGAAAGCCCUGACAGGUGGGCCCCACCUGUCAGUGGCUGUGGGCGCGCGCACAGGCCGGUUCGGCUAGGGCGGUUCGGGCGCGGUCGGUUCUGGGUCGGUUCGGCCCAAGCGGUCGGACCUGUCCGGUUUCCCUUUUUUUUCUUUUCUUUUUCCCUUUUUCUCAUUUCUUUGAUAACUUUUGUAAAAUCAUGUUCCAUCAUGAUACAACUUUUGGGAGUAAUUUCUCCUCAAAAUAAAAUAUAUAAAAAUACAUUUGCUCUAUAAAUGCCUUUAGGGCUAUAUAACUAUUUAAAUAAAAUAGUUUUUUUUUCAUCUCCAAAAAUUAUCCAACAAUUAUGGGAUAGCUUAUUUAUGCAAUAAACCCUUUUUAUAAAUAAACCUUAUUGGUUUGAAGAUCCAAAGCUCAAAUGGGUGUAAACCCUAGGGUUUAAAUUGAAAUAAAAUCUCUUAAAGCCUUUUGAGAUUCAAAUUUGAAUUCAAAUAUGCAAUUAUGGCAUGAUGCUCUUGGGUGCAGUGCAUAUGAAAGGUUUGAAAUUUUGGGAUGUUACAGACCUAACCCCCUUAAGAUGAAUCUCGUCCUCGAGAUUCGGUGUGGGUAGCAAAGAGGUGUGGGUGGUCUUCUCGAAGAUCAUCUUCGCGCUCCCAAGUGGCUUCUUCUUCAGUGUGAUGGUCCCACUGAACUUUGCAAAACCUGAUGGUCUUGGAUCGGGUUUGUCUCUCAGCUGUAUCCAAGAUUCUGAUCGGUUUCUCCUCAUAGGUGAGGUCACUUUGCAGUUGGACUUCUUCUAGGGGUAUCGUAACCCUUAGUGGUGUGUCGGCCAUCUCAGGAUGACACUUCUUCAGUUCCGAUACAUGGAAGACGUUGUGGACAUUUGAAG
Molecule: long non-coding RNA, 913 nt
Filed under: Brachypodium distachyon (stiff brome)
Lineage: Eukaryota; Viridiplantae; Streptophyta; Magnoliopsida; Poales; Poaceae
Description: long non-coding RNA (BDIS_LNC003118)
Source: RNAcentral